CAUAAAUGCCUGGGCAGUCUGUAGGUUACAGUUCCUCAGAAGCAGGCUCCUGGGUGCUUUGACAACCGUCCUGAAGAUUAUGUAGGAGACAAUGUAUGAAAGAUCUAUCUAUCGAGUUCAUCUAGGACAAAAGCCAAGAGCUCCCUAAUGUAACUACAUUAGUGUUUAUUUCUAGGCAAAAAAUAUAUAGAUUUUUAAAAAACUAAAUCUUUAAGGUUACUAAAAGGUAAUAGCUCAGUCCAAAGAAUCCAUUUCAGAAGAUGUCGAUGAACAACUCUUCCAACAUAUUUCUGGAUUCGGUGUCCAGCAGUACCAGUCGCUUUCAAGUUAACAUCGUAAACGAGGGCCAGGAGAGCUGUGCCACAGUAAAUGAUGACAGUGACCCACCCCACUAUGAAGAGACCUCUUUUGGGGAUGAAGCGCAGAACCGACUGAGAAUCAGCUUUAGACCUGGCAAUCAGGAAUGUUAUGACAAUUUCUUACAAAAUGGAGAAACUGCUAAAACAGACUCCAGUUUUCAUGCCUACGACACACACACAAACACAUACUACCUACAAACCUUUGGCCACAAUACCGUGGAUGCAGUGCCCAAGAUUGAGUACUACCGCAACACUGGCAGCGUCAGUGGGCCCAAGGUCAACAGACCCAGCCUGCUGGAGAUCCACGAGCAGCUAGCCAAGAAUGUGACUGUGGCCCCAGGUUCAGCAGACAGGGUUGUUAAUGGUGAUGGGAUGCCCGGAGAGGAGCCAGGCGACAGCAAAGCGGAAGACACAGCUGGUGUCGUGAAGUUUGGCUGGGUGAAAGGUGUGCUGGUCAGAUGCAUGCUGAAUAUCUGGGGAGUCAUGCUCUUCAUCCGCCUGUCCUGGAUUGUAGGAGAAGCUGGAAUUGGUCUUGGAGUUAUCAUAAUUCUUCUUUCCACCAUGGUAACUUCUAUUACUGGGUUGUCAACUUCUGCAAUAGCAACUAACGGGUUUGUUCGUGGAGGUCUUGGCGUCAUCAUCAUUGGCCUGAGCGUAGUCGUGACGACACUCACAGGUAUUUCCAUGUCUGCUAUUUGCACGAAUGGAGUAGUAAGAGGAGGUGGAGCCUACUAUCUCAUUUCCAGGAGCUUAGGGCCCGAGUUUGGCGGAUCAAUAGGCUUGAUCUUUGCCUUCGCCAACGCAGUAGCCGUUGCUAUGUAUGUGGUGGGAUUCGCUGAGACUGUAGUGGAUCUUCUUAAGGAGAACGAUUCCAUGAUGGUGGACCCGACCAACGACAUCCGGAUCAUAGGUUCUAUCACCGUGGUGAUCCUGCUAGGAAUUUCCGUCGCCGGCAUGGAAUGGGAAGCAAAGGCUCAAGUGAUUCUUCUGGUCAUUCUGCUGAUUGCUAUUGCCAACUUCUUCAUUGGAACUGUCAUCCCAUCCAACAAUGAGAAGAAGUCCAGAGGCUUCUUCAAUUACCAAGCUUCCAUAUUUGCGGAGAACUUUGGACCAAGCUUCACGAAGGGGGAAGGGUUCUUCUCUGUCUUCGCCAUUUUCUUCCCAGCAGCCACUGGAAUCCUCGCCGGUGCCAACAUCUCGGGAGACUUGGAGGACCCCCAAGACGCCAUCCCCAGAGGGACCAUGCUCGCUAUUUUCAUCACCACUGUGGCCUACCUGGGGGUUGCUAUCUGCGUGGCGGCCUGUGUGGUCCGAGAUGCCACGGGAAGCACGAACGACACCGUCAUUUCCGGCGUGAACUGCAACGGGUCUGCAGCCUGUGGCCUGGGCUACGACUUCUCCAGGUGUCAACACGAGCCCUGUCAGUACGGGCUGAUGAACAACUUCCAGGUCAUGAGCAUGGUGUCAGGGUUCGGCCCCCUCAUCACCGCUGGAAUCUUCUCGGCAACGCUGUCCUCCGCGCUGGCCUCGCUGGUCAGCGCCCCCAAGGUGUUCCAGGCUCUGUGCAAGGACAACAUCUUCAAAGGCCUGCAGUUCUUCGCAAAGGGCUACGGGAAAAACAACGAGCCCCUGCGAGGCUAUCUUCUCACCUUCGUGAUAGCAAUGGCGUUUAUUCUGAUCGCGGAGCUGAACGUCAUCGCGCCCAUCAUCUCGAACUUCUUCUUGGCUUCGUAUGCACUUAUUAAUUUCUCCUGCUUCCAUGCCUCUUACGCCAAGUCUCCAGGGUGGAGGCCUGCCUAUGGGAUCUACAACAUGUGGGUAUCUCUUUUUGGAGCUAUUUUGUGCUGUGCUGUCAUGUUUGUCAUCAACUGGUGGGCGGCUGUCAUCACCUACAUCAUUGAGUUAUUCCUCUAUAUCUACGUGACUUAUAAGAAACCAGAUGUGAACUGGGGCUCAUCCACACAGGCCCUUUCCUAUGUGAGUGCUUUAGACAAUGCUCUGGAGUUGACCACGGUGGAAGACCACGUGAAGAACUUCAGGCCCCAGUGCAUUGUCCUAACCGGGGCACCCAUGACCAGGCCUGCCCUCUUGGACAUAACUCACGCCUUUACCAAGAACAGUGGCCUGUGCAUCUGCUGUGAAGUCUUCGUGGGACCGCGCAAGCUGUGUGUCAAGGAGAUGAACAGUGGCAUGGCUAAAAAGCAGGCCUGGCUUAUAAAGAACAAAAUCAAGGCUUUUUACGCUGCGGUGGCGGCGGACUAUUUCCGGGACGGAGUCCGCAGUCUCCUCCAGGCCUCGGGCUUAGGGAGAAUGAAGCCAAACACGCUGGUGAUUGGAUAUAAAAAAAACUGGAGGAAAGCGCCCUUGACAGAGACUGAGAACUACGUGGGAAUCAUCCAUGAUGCAUUCGACUUUGAGAUCGGCGUGGUCAUAGUCCGAGUCAGCCAAGGGUUUGACAUCUCUCAGGUCCUUCAGGUGCAAGAUGAGCUGGAGAGGCUGGAGCAGGAGCGGCUGGCGCUGGAAGCCACCAUCAAGGACAGCGAGUGCCAGGACGGGGGCGGGGGCAUCCGAGGCUUGUUUAAAAAAGCCGGCAAGUUGAACAUCACCAAGCCACCUCUUAAGAAAGAGAGCAGCAUUAAUACCCUCCAGUCGAGGCACGUGGGGGAGUUCAACCAGAAGCUGGUGGAAGCCAGCACUCAGUUCAAAAACAAACAAGGAAAAGGAACAAUUGAUGUCUGGUGGCUGUUUGAUGAUGGAGGGUUAACACUCCUUAUCCCCUAUAUCUUGACUCUUAGAAAAAAGUGGAAAGAUUGUAAACUACGGAUCUAUGUGGGAGGGAAGAUCAACCGCAUUGAAGAAGAAAAAAUCGCCAUGGCUUCUCUGCUGAGCAAAUUUAGGAUAAAAUUUGCCGACAUCCACAUCAUUGGUGACAUCAACGUGAAGCCCAACAAAGAGAGCCGGAAAAUCUUUGAAGAGAUGAUUGAACCAUACCGGCUCCAUGAAAGCUGCAAAGAUUUAGCAACUGCUGAGAAAUUAAAAAGAGAGACUCCAUGGAAAAUUACAGAUGCAGAGCUGGACGCAGUCAAAGAAAAGAGCUACCGCCAGGUUCGACUGAACGAGCUCUUACAGGAGCACUCGAGAGCCGCCAAUCUCAUCGUCCUGAGUCUUCCUGUGGCGAGAAAAGGGUCCAUAUCAGAUUUGCUCUACAUGGCUUGGCUAGAAAUCCUCACCAAGAACCUCCCUCCUGUCUUGCUGGUUAGAGGAAAUCACAAAAAUGUGCUGACAUUUUACUCCUAAGACACGACUGGGAAGAAUACCUUUUAACUGGAUGGAUGAAUAAUUUUUAAAAAAUCUUCUAGUACUUAAUGUUAUAAAAUCCAAUCUAUGGAUAUGCAAACCUCUGGAGACCUGAGCUUACCAGAUUCUCCAUAAGUUGUGUUUUUUUAUUAGUUAACAGAAACUUUUCCCCCCUCUAUCAACUAAAAGGAACAUUUAAGCUAAGGCUACUACAAAAAAAAAAAAAAAGUCACUUUUGUCAUUGCUGUUGGUAAAUAAGAAAUUUAUCAAAGCCAAGCUGGCAUGUGCAUGUGAAAACCAGCAUGGCGACUGUGAGCAGGCUUUCUCUUUUGUUUCUAAUGGUAUUUGCAGAGGAGCCCUGGCUCAGGCCGUGGCCCUCAGCAGGUCUCAGCAACUCUUCUUGACAGGCUGCUUCUACACCCCUGGGCAGCCAUCAGAGGAAAAGACCAAGCAGGUAGGAUGUGAGACCCAGCCUGCCACCUCCUAGAGGCCUGAGACCAUGAAGAAGAUUUAAAAAUCAAUAGGUGAGAACUUUAAGAAUCACUGGAGCCUACAGCAUGUAUAAAGCAGCUAGCUAAAUAGGGGUAAUAGAUAAUAUACUUCAAGAGAUCAGAGUGAUCGCUGAUUGCACGCAGCUUAAUUUGCCACAGACGGGAGGUUUAUUAGCUGGGUCAGAAGGGAAUGUAUUCUAAUUACAGUCAUGCUUGGGUACUCAAAUGCUUUGAAACGCCUCAAAUUUGGUGCAAGAUGCAUUUGGAUGCAAAAAUUGUAUCCCGGUAUAUUUUCACUUGUUUUGAUGCCUGAUGUCCAAGCUAGAAUCUGUUGAUGUCAGUGGCCUCGAGAUCGCUGCCUUUUCCAAACAAAGCAGUUUGUUUGCUACUUGUUGCUUUUGAUGCUUAGCACAGGGCUCAAGGCCAGUCAGCAAUCCCAUAGGCCAUUUCUGACAUCCACAUAGGAAGUCAGCUCCACGCUGAAUGUUCUGAAAUUUCCCUCACAUAUAACUUUAUAUCUGUUUUUCUAAUUAAGUGGUUAGUAUAGAUGAAAUCUACAUAGAUGGGUAAUUGGAAGCCAAGUAUCACAAAUUCUCAAAGCAUGCCUAAGACACAUAUACCAAAUCAUAUAUUUAGUCUCUUUGUAUCCUGAUUACCUGGGCUUAAAAGAAAAAUGAAAAUGUGGAGAAAUUUGCAAAAUUCAUAGGACCUACAUAUUGAUUGUUUCAUUUUUGUUCGUUUAUCUGUAAUACUUAAUCACAUGGACAAACCAACAAAAAAUUGGUUUUUUGAUAAAUGGCCUGAUUUUUCUUCUGCCAUAUUCUUCUGUUUUGAGAAAACAUCUGGGGAAAAUGAACUUGAAAUAAAAGCCCUGAAAUUGGUUUUCUUUGACCUCA
Octodon degus (degu) is the source of this 5043-nucleotide RNA transcript. It is a transcript of the gene named solute carrier family 12 member 1, with no coding region annotated. NCBI's taxonomy places the organism in Eukaryota, Metazoa, Chordata, Mammalia, Rodentia, Octodontidae. The record is from RefSeq and is a predicted model, not a curated record. The transcript has 29 exons.